RNAcentral lists this ribosomal RNA (253 nucleotides) under uncultured bacterium. Its description in RNAcentral is "partial 16S ribosomal RNA". It matches the Rfam family "Bacterial small subunit ribosomal RNA", at positions 524 to 776 of the family's 1533-position model. The record is from RNAcentral.
UACAGAGGGUGCGAGCGUUAAUCGGAAUUACUGGGCGUAAAGGGUGCGUAGGUGGUGAUUUAAGUUAGGUGUGAAAGUCCCGGGCUUAACCUGGGGAUUGCGCCUGAUACUGGGUUACUAGAGUAUUGUAGAGGAAAGUGGAAUUUCCGGUGUAGCGGUGAAAUGCGUAGAUAUCGGAAGGAACAUCGGUGGCGAAGGCGACUUUCUGGACAGAUACUGACACUGAGGCACGAAAGCGUGGGGAGCAAACAGG